UACGAAGGGGGCUAGCGUUGUUCGGAAUCACUGGGCGUAAAGCGCGCGUAGGCGGACUGACAAGUCAGAGGUGAAAGCCCAAGGCUCAACCUUGGAACUGCCUUUGAAACUGUCAGUCUGGAGUCUCGGAGGGGAUGGCGGAAUUUCUAGUGUAGGGGUGAAAUCCGUAGAUACUAGAAGGAACACCGGUGGCGAAGGCGGCCAUCUGGACGAGUACUGACGCUGAGGCGCGAAAGCGUGGGGAGCAAACAGG
RNAcentral lists this ribosomal RNA (253 nucleotides) under uncultured bacterium. RNAcentral describes it as "partial 16S ribosomal RNA". It matches the Rfam family "Bacterial small subunit ribosomal RNA", at positions 524 to 776 of the family's 1533-position model. The record is from RNAcentral.